ACUCCUACGGGAGGCAGCAGUGGGGAAUAUUGCGCAAUGGGGGAAACCCUGACGCAGCAACGCCGCGUGGGUGAUGAAGGCCCUUGGGUCGUAAAGCCCUGUCGGGGGGAAAGAACUAUCUAAGUGCGAAUACUUCUUAGACUUGACGGUACCUCCAAAGGAAGCACCGACCAACUCCGUGCCAGCAGCCGCGGUAAU
RNAcentral lists this ribosomal RNA (198 nucleotides) under uncultured Geobacter sp. RNAcentral's name for it is "partial 16S ribosomal RNA". It matches the Rfam family "Bacterial small subunit ribosomal RNA", at positions 335 to 524 of the family's 1533-position model. Lineage: Bacteria; Pseudomonadati; Thermodesulfobacteriota; Desulfuromonadia; Geobacterales; Geobacteraceae. The record is from RNAcentral.